This is a transfer RNA of Trichosporon asahii var. asahii CBS 8904, 104 nucleotides long. It matches the Rfam family "tRNA". Rfam says of the family: Transfer RNA (tRNA) molecules are approximately 80 nucleotides in length. Their secondary structure includes four short double-helical elements and three loops (D, anti-codon, and T loops). NCBI's taxonomy places the organism in Eukaryota, Fungi, Basidiomycota, Tremellomycetes, Trichosporonales, Trichosporonaceae. The record is from Rfam.
CUCACCAUAGCUCAGUUGGUAGAGCGUCGGACUGUAAUCUGAUACCUCCGCUUCGUACGAAGCAUUCAAUCCGCAGGUCCUGUGUUCGACUCACAGUGGUGAGA